Long non-coding RNA from Nomascus leucogenys (northern white-cheeked gibbon), 963 nucleotides. RefSeq lists it as uncharacterized. The record is from RefSeq and is a predicted model, not a curated record. NCBI's taxonomy places the organism in Eukaryota, Metazoa, Chordata, Mammalia, Primates, Hylobatidae. The transcript has 3 exons.
CUUGGGCCUGGAAUGCAAAGGUAAAAGGAAACCAAAUCAGAUUUAUUUAACAACUUUUUACGUAAUUAUAAAAGUUAGAAGUAGCCACUGCAGAAAGACUAUCUGAUUAUUUCAGUUAAGUCUCUGCUAACCACAGUAGGUAAAAAAAUGCAUCCUUAUUAGAAUGGCAUGUAAAUAGGCCUUAUUCUACUUGGAUGUAUAUGCCACAUUUUUAAUGGUGCACGUGUUUGGGCACUUGAAGGUGACAUUUCUGUAACAUUCUAAGUAGCAGGUGGGUAACUUCCACCAUUGUCCCAGGAAUGUAAAUGAAGCCAAAAGUUUUAACACUGAUAAAUUUGAGGGGGGGUUUGUUUGUUUGUUUUCGGCAGAGCACUUAUGGGUUGUUUCUGUUCCCAGUGUUAACUGCAGGAGUUCGAGAAUGCAGAAUGAUGAAUAGAAUUCCUGUGAUUCCCAGUGCACUUGACGUCAGGCUGCUGCUGUGUGCUCAGCACAAGCAGUCUGCAGGGUUAACUGGCCAGAUGGUCUUCCUUCAGCCCCUCCAAUGCUGUAAGGCAGCUUGAAAGAAGAACCAGGGUUUGUGAUUGAGAGACCCAGGCUUCCAGCGUGCACCACUGCUAUGAUCAUAAGGGGUCUGUGCAUAAGGCAGCCACCUUGGUGGCAGCACAGAGAGGCAAAAUACAGCAAUCAUGUGACUCGUGAGCCCUGAGUCAUGACUGCCUGGGCUUCGUGCUUUGCAGGCUUGGUGAUCCACCUAGCACUUGCCUGCUCAUUUCACCAUAGCAGCUACUGAAAUUCCUAGAAGAAUCACCACUGUGAUGGAGCCUAUAAUCCGGAUGUCAUUGGUUGGAUCCACCAUCAUCGAAUCACUCUCCUGGGGAAACAAAUUAUUAAGUGCUUAGAGAUACAGCUUUUUGCAUGUGAGUCUUAUCGCAGCAUUUAACAGUAAAAAGAGAUACUAUACAG